GCAGAUGUGGCGGAAUUGGUAGACGCGCCACCUUGAGGGGGUGGUGACUUAGGUCGUGAGAGUUCGAGUCUCUCCAUCUGCACCA
RNAcentral lists this transfer RNA (85 nucleotides) under Colwellia sp. RNAcentral describes it as "tRNA-Leu". It matches the Rfam family "tRNA". From Rfam's summary of the family: Transfer RNA (tRNA) molecules are approximately 80 nucleotides in length. Their secondary structure includes four short double-helical elements and three loops (D, anti-codon, and T loops). The record is from RNAcentral. RNAcentral also lists the same sequence under 17 other names. Lineage: Bacteria; Pseudomonadati; Pseudomonadota; Gammaproteobacteria; Alteromonadales; Colwelliaceae.